RNAcentral lists this ribosomal RNA (174 nucleotides) under uncultured bacterium. Its description in RNAcentral is "partial 16S ribosomal RNA". It matches the Rfam family "Bacterial small subunit ribosomal RNA", at positions 1319 to 1500 of the family's 1533-position model. The record is from RNAcentral.
CAUGAAGCUGGAUUCGCUAGUAAUCGCGCAUCAGCCACGGCGCGGUGAAUACGUUCCCGGGCCUUGUACACACCGCCCGUCAAGCCAUGGAAGCCGGGAGUGCCUGAAGUGCGUGACCGCAAGGAACGCCCUAGGGUAAAACCGGUGACUGGGGCUAAGUCGUAACAAGGUACC